GAGACAGCAGUAGCCGCGGUAAUACAGAGGGUGCGAGCGUUAAUCGGAUUUACUGGGCGUAAAGCGUGCGUAGGCGGCUUCUUAAGUCGGAUGUGAAAUCCCUGAGCUUAACUUAGGAAUUGCAUUCGAUACUGGUUAGCUAGAGUGUGGGAGAGGAUGGUAGAAUUCCAGGUGUAGCGGUGAAAUGCGUAGAGAUCUGGAGGAAUACCGAUGGCGAAGGCAGCCAUCUGGCCUAACACUGACGCUGAGGUACGAAAGCAUGGGGAGCAAACAGGAUUAGAUACCCCCGUAGUCCCUGUCUCUUAUAC
Molecule: ribosomal RNA, 308 nt
Filed under: uncultured bacterium
Lineage: Bacteria
Description: partial 16S ribosomal RNA
Rfam family: Bacterial small subunit ribosomal RNA
Source: RNAcentral